UGGGGAAUUUUGGACAAUGGGCGCAAGCCUGAUCCAGCCAUGCCGCGUGUCUGAAGAAGGCCUUCGGGUUGUAAAGGACUUUUGUCAGGGAAGAAAAGGCUGUUGCUAAUACCGACAGCUGAUGACGGUACCUGAAGAAUAAGCACCGGCUAACUACGUGCCAGCAGCCGCGGUAAUACGUAGGGUGCGAGCGUUAAUCGGAAUUACUGGGCGUAAAGCGAGCGCAGACGGUUACUUAAGCAGGAUGUGAAAUCCCCGGGCUCAACCUGGGAACUGCGUUCUGAACUGGGUGACUAGAGUGUGUCAGAGGGAGGUAGAAUUCCACGUGUAGCAGUGAAAUGCGUAGAGAUGUGGAGGAAUACCGAUGGCGAAGGCAGCCUCCUGGGAUAACACUGACGUUCAUGCUCGAAAGCGUGGGUAGCAAACAGGAUUAGAUACCCUGGUAGUCCACGCCCUAAACGAUGUCAAUUAGCUGUUGGGCAACUUGAUUGCUUAGUAGCGUAGCUACGCGUGAAAUUGACCGCCCGGGGAGUACGGUCGCAAGAUUA
Molecule: ribosomal RNA, 548 nt
Filed under: uncultured bacterium
Lineage: Bacteria
Description: bacterial SSU rRNA
Rfam family: Bacterial small subunit ribosomal RNA
Source: RNAcentral